AUGUCUCCUUUAUUUUUGGUUUAGUCACUUAAAAUUAUAGAGGCAUUUGCGCUAUUUU
This is a small RNA of Staphylococcus sp. HGB0015, 58 nucleotides long. It matches the Rfam family "Staphylococcus sRNA sau-5949". NCBI's taxonomy places the organism in Bacteria, Bacillati, Bacillota, Bacilli, Caryophanales, Staphylococcaceae. The record is from Rfam.